RNAcentral lists this transfer RNA (71 nucleotides) under Hypoxylon rubiginosum. RNAcentral describes it as "tRNA-Gly". It matches the Rfam family "tRNA". Rfam says of the family: Transfer RNA (tRNA) molecules are approximately 80 nucleotides in length. The record is from RNAcentral. Lineage: Eukaryota; Fungi; Ascomycota; Sordariomycetes; Xylariales; Hypoxylaceae.
GCAUCAGUGGUUUAGUGGUAAAAUCCAUCGUUGCCAUCAAUGGGCCCCGCGUUCGAUUCGCGGCUGAUGCA